RNA transcript from Bactrocera tryoni, 2373 nucleotides. It is a transcript of the gene named intraflagellar transport protein 46 homolog, with no coding region annotated. NCBI's taxonomy places the organism in Eukaryota, Metazoa, Arthropoda, Insecta, Diptera, Tephritidae. The transcript is spliced from 3 exons. The record is from RefSeq and is a predicted model, not a curated record.
AUGGAAGUUACAAAAAGGUUUGUUACAAAACGCAACAAUUAAAUAAUAUUUUUGAGAGUAUUAAAAGCGUUAAUAUUUGUAAGAGCAUCUUCAAAUGCAUGGCAGUGCUAUAAACUGAAGGCAGAACAUAAACAAAUAAAAGUUGUCAAGGCAACGGUAUAAACAAACACGGCGGCAACAAACAAAUAAAAUUAUUGUUGAAGAGGAAGUAUUUUUGCUGCGGUGAAAUUACUUUUUAUAACUCUAUAAAUAAGUGUAUUCAUACAACCAAGCGUUAAAAUGAAUUAUUACGAUGAGGAGAUUUCAAUUAGUGGACCAGAUUCCAAAAAUCUAAGUCAUUUUAAAGUGGAUAGAAUACCAAGCAAUGGCAGUGGUCGGACCGCAUCGACUAAUCGCACCGCUACUUUGCGUCGCAGUAAGAUUCAUGGUAGCUCGACCGACGAUGAUGGACUAUUGCAGGAUAUUAUUGAUCACGAUGACGAGGAUGACGACGACGAUGACGACGAUGAUGUAAGUGAAAUUCAGCCGCGUUUAAUAGACGGUUCAGCACGUGGCACAGCUAACCAACGCCCACAGACACGACCGGGCAGCGCACGCAGCACUGCCAAUGUAUUAUCCGCUAAGCCGCUGAUGCGGGGCGGUGGUGGUGGUGGACUCAUUGUACCAUCCGAAAGUGAAUCGGAUGAAGCCGUUUCACCACAACCACAAAUUGAAGUUAUUGGAGAUGCGGCAGCAGUACAAUCAUCUCCGCCAGAGCAACAGUUGUCCAUCAAACCUGAAUAUUGGGAAAAUUUGGCAAUAAAUCAGGAGCUAAAGGAACUCUUUCCGUACAUAUUAAAAUAUACACCGCAAUCAAUUGAUACACCUUAUCGCCUGCAACCUUUCAUACCGGAUUUUGUACCAUCUGUCGGUGAUGUGGACGCCUUCCUCAAGGUCACCAUACCUCCACUAUCGAAGCCUCAACGUCAGCAAGAAAUCAACGAGUAUUUACAUAAAAUGGGUAUUUAUCUGCUUGACGAGCCAUCCGGCGAACAAUCGGAGCCGAGUUUGCUGAAUAUGAAAUUGCGUUCGGUGCUCACUGGCAGUGGUUCAAAUGCGCGCUCUGCAUCGGCUUCGCUGAUUCCAACUGCCAAAUCGCCUAAGGAAAUUGACAAGUGGAUUAAUGAGGUCGAGAAAUUGCAUAUGACCCAAACCGUAAAUGAUAUACAACCGCGCAAAGAGAUUGAGCCCUUGUUGAUGAAUUGGCCGCGCUCGUAUGCUGAUGCUAGUGCAGCCGUGCAACAGGCGUAUCAGCAGUGCCUGGAAGAUGACGACGUUGCGCGUUAUGUGCGCACACUCUGCCAACAGUUCGAGGUGGAUGGGCCUAUAGAAACGCAGGUCCAUUACAUAAUGAGCGUGCAGACAUUGUUCGCACUAUAUUUGGCCGCCAAUCAAGCAUGGGAAUGAUUAACAGAAAAGUCAAAUAGCCAAAAUGCUUGUAAACGCUUACUUAAAUGUCUGAUGUGCCCACGCUUUCUGAAGUCCUACGAUAUUUUCGAAUAUAUGACAUAUUGAAAUAUGCACCGCAAUACAAACUUCAACUUUAUCUAACGAUUAAUUCUUUAAAAUAAGCUUUCAAUCAGAGUACCUGUGUUUGAAUCAUUCUCUGCCUUGGAAGGUUGGAUAUGUUGUACACAACGCGGUUUUGGUAUUAUUGCUCUAAUUGAAUUGCUUGGCAUUUGUGUGAGCCUAAAUGACUGUGUUGCUCCCAUGCACACGCACUGAUGUAAGUCCCUUCAUUACGUGAUUCUCUCUCCACGCACUCUUCGGUAAGCGAAUAACUCAUUUCGCAGCGCCAAUAUUUGACCCUAAUCGCCACCCCAACAAACGACGGUCUUCACCUACUACCGAUAUGAACGUACACACACAAACCCCACCACUAAAUCGGAUUCUCUACUCGAUGCGCCUACUGCUAAGCCUCAAUUAGUCGAUGGUUAUUCCAUAACUAAUGCGAUGCAUUGAGCUGCAUUGUCGGCCAGUGAUUGGGCCGCCGCAUUCGCUGAUUAGGCAAAUGAACUAAAUCAUGGCAGUUAAGAUAACCGUGGCCAAGUGGUAAAGUGUUUGGGCACUGAAUGCAGGUGAAUGCACAUGUUCACAGGAAUUUAUGAUUGACGAAGGGAAUUCUGUUUGUUUACAUAUGCGAGGUGCAUGUUAGUUUCUCUCCACUGGGUGUUUAAUUUAAAAUGUUCUGAGGAUCUUAUAGCUGCAACUUUUAUAGAAUUCAAGGCUACGACAACCGUUGAAGUCAUAGAACUAUUAUCAUCAUACUUACCUAAAAAUAUACUUUAGAUUAUAUAUUCUUCUUCUUUAUUGACGCAGACACCGCUUACGAGG